CAACAAAGGUCUUGUGUAGUGAGAUCCAUCGAUGCAACCAUGGUGGCGGUUGGCCAAGCCGCAACGACAACGACCAUUUGCAAACUACAUGUCGCAUUUUAUUCAGCGGGGAUCCAUGGCGUUGAGUAGAGAUGUAUGGUGACUAUUCGACGGAGAUAAGAAGAAAAAUGGUUGCAUGGCAAGGUGGUCGACAACGGGUGCUUGAAAAGAAGGCAAAACUUUCGUGAUGCUAAAAAAGUGAUGUUAGAGGGGCUUGCGUAUUUCCCCCUCUUUUCACUAUAUUGAGAAGCUAUGUGCAUAAUUUUAAUGGGUCCUCUUAACAUGUUAGAGAAAUAAGGGUUUUAGGAAUAUGCUAGAAUGACAUUUUUAUUAACUUUAGUCUCCUUCCACUCACUAUUAUAAAAUAUUUUGGAUAUUUGAAUAUGAACUACAUACGAACUGAAAUGAAUGAACAUACAAGCUAAAACGUGUCUACAUACAUCUGAUCCUGAAAAAAGAUAAAAACAUCUUAUAAUAGUGACAGAUAGCUCUACUAGUAUUUCUCUGAUUCUCUCAAUCUCCCUUUUCUCUUGACAAUAAGGGGCACCUAGAUCUCUAUUUUGAUGGCGGGAGGUGGAGGAAAGCCUAGUUUGUGUGUGUCGAAUGCCUAGCUAUAUUAGUGAUGUUGCUUGAGGUGCAACACAAUCUUCUCGGUGCCUCUCACUAGGGUUAGGUUUUGGUGUUAUGACGGUGAUAUUCAGAUGUCGGUAGAUGUGUUAUAUCAGAUAAUAGAGCCAAGUUUUUUUUUCCAACUCGACUACGUGUUGGUUUGUUCGUCGACCUAUUGGUCUCGUUGCGAGCAACCUAGUCUUGCAUAUACGUUGUUUUCAUGCGCGACCGAAUGCACAUCAGAUUAUCGGCUUUUGUCAAUGGCUGUCAACACAAAUCGGGGUGUUGCAUCUCUCGAAUCGGGUUUUUUUUCCAUACCCACCGUCCACGGUGGGUAUAUACCGUGGGACCAACAAUGCGGAGUAAAAUAUCUUUGGAUAAUCCAUGAAUCUUUGGAGGUCCCGUUUGCAAAGAGAACACCACCAAGGAGUCUAAACGGAAAAUACCUCCGUGAACAACUUCCUAUAAAGCAACACGAAGUGGAGCCGAAGCAAAGAUAACCCACCCGAAGAAGCAACCAAGAAAAUCCCCCCAAUGGAUCAUCGCCUCGUGGCCCCUCUCCUCCUCCUCGUCGGCCUCCUCCUCUCCCCGGCGCCGGCGACGGCGGCCGCGGGGGACGAGGAGCCCCUGAUCCGGCAGGUCGUGGGCGGCGCCGACCCCCUCGACAACGACCUGGAGCUCGACUCGCAGUUCGUCGGCUUCGUGCAGCGGUUCGGGAAGACGUACCGGGACGCGGAGGAGCACGCGCACCGGCUCUCCGUGUUCAAGGCCAACCUCCGCCGCGCGCGCCGGCACCAGCUGCUCGACCCGUCCGCCGAGCACGGGGUCACCAAGUUCUCCGACCUCACCCCGGCCGAGUUCCGCCGGACCUACCUGGGGCUCAAGACGACCCGGCGAUCCUUCCUGCGGGAGAUGGCCGGGUCGGCGCACGACGCGCCCGUCCU
RNAcentral lists this long non-coding RNA (1592 nucleotides) under Hordeum vulgare. RNAcentral's name for it is "long non-coding RNA (HVUL_LNC013621)". Lineage: Eukaryota; Viridiplantae; Streptophyta; Magnoliopsida; Poales; Poaceae. The record is from RNAcentral.